GCUCGUUCAUGAACAGGGAGAAAAAACUCACAUGCAAGGGUGACGGCUUCUAUCACGGUGCCAUCAUGGCCUCUUCAUCACCAUAUAAAACAGCUCCACCGUUUCAAACCAGCAACAUUACACUUCGUCCACCUGACAUGCAUGAGAUGAGGCUUGUUCUGCUCGG
Poecilia reticulata (guppy) is the source of this 166-nucleotide non-coding RNA. The record is from RefSeq and is a predicted model, not a curated record. Lineage: Eukaryota; Metazoa; Chordata; Actinopteri; Cyprinodontiformes; Poeciliidae.